GGCGGCGUGCUUAACACAUGCAAGUCGAGCGGUAAGGCCCUUCGGGGGUACACGAGCGGCGAACGGGUGAGUAACACGUGGGUGAUCUGCCCUGCACUUCGGGAUAAGCCUGGGAAACUGGGUCUAAUACCGGAUAUGACCUUCGGCUGCAUGGCUGGGGGUGGAAAGGUUUACUGGUGCAGGAUGAGCCCGCGGCCUAUCAGCUUGUUGGUGGGGUAAUGGCCUACCAAGGCGACGACGGGUAGCCGACCUGAGAGGGUGACCGGCCACACUGGGACUGAGACACGGCCCAGACUCCUACGGGAGGCAGCAGUGGGGAAUAUUGCACAAUGGGCGAAAGCCUGAUGCAGCGACGCCGCGUGAGGGAUGACGGCCUUCGGGUUGUAAACCUCUUUCAGCAGGGACGAAGCGUGAGUGACGGUACCUGCAGAAGAAGCACCGGCUAACUACGUGCCAGCAGCCGCGGUAAUACGUAGGGUGCAAGCGUUGUCCGGAAUUACUGGGCGUAAAGAGUUCGUAGGCGGUUUGUCGCGUCGUUUGUGAAAACUCACAGCUCAACUGUGAGCUUGCAGGCGAUACGGGCAGACUUGAGUACUGCAGGGGAGACUGGAAUUCCUGGUGUAGCGGUGAAAUGCGCAGAUAUCAGGAGGAACACCGGUGGCGAAGGCGGGUCUCUGGGCAGUAACUGACGCUGAGGAACGAAAGCGUGGGUAGCAAACAGGAUUAGAUACCCUGGUAGUCCACGCCGUAAACGGUGGGCGCUAGGUGUGGGUUUCCUUCCACGGGAUCCGUGCCGUAGCUCACGCAUUAAGCGCCCCGCCUGGGGAGUACGGCCGC
RNAcentral lists this ribosomal RNA (837 nucleotides) under Tsukamurella sp. IM-0683. Its description in RNAcentral is "bacterial SSU rRNA". It matches the Rfam family "Bacterial small subunit ribosomal RNA", at positions 38 to 889 of the family's 1533-position model. The record is from RNAcentral. Lineage: Bacteria; Bacillati; Actinomycetota; Actinomycetes; Mycobacteriales; Tsukamurellaceae.